Long non-coding RNA from Coturnix japonica (Japanese quail), 2334 nucleotides. The record is from Ensembl. NCBI's taxonomy places the organism in Eukaryota, Metazoa, Chordata, Aves, Galliformes, Phasianidae.
AUGGCCCUAUACACCUCAAGAUGGCCUCGUAUGGCCCUAUAUGUUCCCAUUGAACAGCCUCCCAUGGUUCCCCCACCCUAACCCUCUAUGGCCCUAUAUGCCUCAGUAUGGCCUCAUAUGACCCUAUAUGGCCUUAUACACCUCAGUAUGGCCUCAUCUGGCCCUAUAUGGCCCCAUAGGGCUCAGUAUGGCCUCAUCUGGCCUCAUAUGGCCCCAUACACCUCAAUAUGGCCUCAAGAUGGCCUCGUAUGGCCCUAUAUGGCCACAUCUGGCCCUAUAUGGCCCUAUACACCUCAAUAUGGCCACAGUAUGGCCUCAUCUGGCCCUAUAUGGCCUCAUCUGGCCCUAUAUGGCCCUAUACACCUCAAGAUGGCCACAGUAUGGCCUCAUCUGGCCCUAUACGGCCUCAUCUGGCCCUAUAUGGCCCUAUACACCUCAAGAUGGCCUCAUAUGACCCUAUAUGGCCCUAUAUGCCUCAGUAUAGCCUCAUCUGGCCUCUAUACACCUGAAUAUGGACCCCCCCAGCCCUGUCACCCCAUAGAUCUCACGUGAAGGAGCUGCGGGUAUCGGUGCCGUCCACCCAUUCCCAUUCCCCCUCCUUGUUUUCAUCCGUUAAACCGAUCCAGAAACGUUCGUUCCUCGUCCGGAACAUAACGAAGGUCUAUGGGAUAACAGGGGAAUAAAGGGGGGGGCAUUGAGGUGGGGGGCUCUAUGGGGUCCCUAUGGGACUCUAUGGGGUCUCAAUGGAUGUCAGUGGGUCCCUAUGGGCCCUAUGGGGUACCAAUGGAUACCAGUGGGUCCCUGUGGGUCUCUAUGGGGUCUCAGUGGGUCCCUAUAGAGUCUCAAUGGGGUCCCAAUGGAUGUCAAUGGGUCCCUAUGGGCCCUAUGGGGUCCCAUUGGAUACCAGUGGGUCUCUGUGGGUCUCUAUGGGGUGCCAGUAGAUGCCAAUGGGUCCUAAUGGGACUCUAUGGGGUCUCAAUGGAUGUCAGUGGGUCCCUAUGGGCCCUAUGGGUACCAAUGGAUACCAGUGGGUCCCUGUGGGUCUUUAUGGGGUCCCAAUGGGUCCCUAUGCAGGGCCAGUGGAUGCCAGUGGGUCAUUAUGGGUCUCUAUGGGGUCUUUAUGGGUCCUUAUGGGUCCCUAUGGGUCCCUAUGGGUCUCUAUGGGAUCCCAAUGCUUUUCAGUGGGUCCUAAUGGGUCCCUAUGGGUCCCUAUGGGGUCCCAAUGGAUGCUAAUGGGUCCCAAUGGUUCUCUAUGGGUUCCCAAUGGAUGCCAAUGGGUCUCUACGGGGUCCCAAUGCUUUUCUAUGGGUCUCUAUGGGUCCCUAUGGGUCCCAAUGGUGUCCCAAUGGAUGCCAAUGGGGUCCCAAUGCUUUUCAGUGGGUCCUAAUGGGUCCCUAUGGGUCCCUAUGGGGUCCCAAUGGAUACCAAUGGGUCUCUAUGGGAUCCCAAUGGANGGGUCCCAAUGCUUUUCAGUGGGUCCUAAUGGGUCCCUAUGGGUCCCUAUGGGGUCCCAAUGGAUACCAAUGGGUCUCUAUGGGAUCCCAAUGGAUGUCAAUGGGUCCUUAUGGGUCUCUAUGGGUCCCAAUAGAUGUCAAUGGGUCUCUAUGGGUCUCUAUGGGAUCCCAAUGGAUGUCAAUGGGUCCUUAUGGGUCCUAAAGGAUCCCUAUGGGAUCCCAAUGGAUGCCAAUGGGUCCCUAUGGGUCUCUAUGGGUUCCCAAUGGAUGCCAAUGGGUCCAUAUGGGUCUCUAUGGGAUCCCAAUGGAUGUCAAUGGGUUCUAAUGGGUCCUAAUGGAUCCCUAUGGGGUCCCAAUGGAUGCCAAUGGAAUCCCAAUGGAUACCAAUGGGUCUCUAUGGGGUCCCAAUGGAUUCCUAUGGGUCCCUAUGGGGUCCCAAUGCUUUUCUAUGGGUCUCUAUGGGUCCCUAUGGGUCCCAAUGGUGUCCCAAUGGAUGCCAAUGGGUCCCAAUGGAUGUCAGUGGGUCCUAAUGGGUCCCUAUGGGGUCCCAAUGGAUGUCAGUGGGUCCUAAUGGGUCCCUAUGGGGUCCCAAUGGAUGCCAAUGGAAUCCCAAUGGAUACCAAUGGGUCUCUAUGGGGUCCCAAUGGAUGCCAAUGGAUCCCUAUGGGUCCCUAUGGAUCUCUAUGUGUCCCUAUGGGUCUCUAUGUGUCAUUUUGGGUCCCUAUGUGUCAUUUUGGGUGUAUUUUGUGGUAUUUUGGUACCUGUUUGGCGUAGCUGUCGAUGACGAUGAGGCGGGCGUGCAUCUCCUCGCACUCCGCCUUCGCUUUGUGCCAGCUGAUUCUGUUCAGGGAGAAGUAAUAGCAGCUCCCUUCAAAGUAUU